This 86-nucleotide microRNA precursor is filed under the name Canis lupus familiaris (dog). Its description in RNAcentral is "miRNA (ENSCAFG00000050442.1, ENSCAFG00845008483.1)". The record is from RNAcentral. Lineage: Eukaryota; Metazoa; Chordata; Mammalia; Carnivora; Canidae.
CAGCAGGUAAAUGGCAGAGCUGGGGUUUGAACCCAAGCACACUGGUUCCAGUCUGGGCUGUCAGUCACACAAAGCUGCAGGGGCAG